AACGAACGCUGGCGGCGCGCCUAAUACAUGCAAGUCGAGCGAGAAGGUGUAGCAAUACACUUGUAAAGCGGCGAACGGGUGAGGAAUACAUGGGUAACCUACCCUCGAGUGGGGAAUAACUAGCCGAAAGGUUAGCUAAUACCGCAUACGAUUCCAGGACUUCGGUCCUGGAAGGAAAGCACUACCGUGGGUAGUGCGCUCCUGGAUGGGCUCAUGUCCUAUCAGCUUGUUGGNGAGGUAAAGGCUCACCAAGGCUUCGACGGGUAGCUGGUCUGAGAGGACGAUCAGCCACACUGGCACUGCGACACGGGCCAGACUCCUACGGGAGGCAGCAGUAAGGAAUAUUGCGCAAUGGGCGAAAGCCUGACGCAGCGACGCCGC
Molecule: ribosomal RNA, 381 nt
Filed under: uncultured bacterium
Lineage: Bacteria
Description: bacterial SSU rRNA
Rfam family: Bacterial small subunit ribosomal RNA
Source: RNAcentral